Molecule: non-coding RNA, 267 nt
Organism: Pelobates cultripes (western spadefoot toad)
Lineage: Eukaryota; Metazoa; Chordata; Amphibia; Anura; Pelobatidae
Source: the annotation of a GenBank genome assembly
UGGGGAAUUCUCUGUGUUCCAAGAGGCCAAACAGACAUGGCCACUCAACCCUAUGGAAUGUCUUCUCUGCAUCCAGCGACAGGGGCAAGGAAAGCUAUUGUUGAUCUUUGCCCUCCAUGCUAAGUCAACUAACCUCCUUGUGUUCUCAUAUAAUUGUACAUUCGGAAUGAAUCCCACCUGUUCGGGGUGAAUCAUACUAAGAAGGAGCUGGAACAGUUGUCCUGUCAGUACCUUGGGCAAGAUCUUGAUUUCUACAGUGAUCAAGGU